This 436-nucleotide long non-coding RNA is filed under the name Danio rerio (zebrafish). Its description in RNAcentral is "si:ch211-229n1.7 (ENSDARG00000097656.2)". Lineage: Eukaryota; Metazoa; Chordata; Actinopteri; Cypriniformes; Danionidae. The record is from RNAcentral.
AGCGGAUGCCCUUCCAGCUGCAGCCCAGUACUGGGAAACACCCAUACACACUCAUUCACACACUCAUACACUACAGCCUAUGGACUAUGUGUGUGUGUGGAGUGUACUGACCUUCACAGAUGGGACAGCAUUGGUCUUCAGGCUGGACGGUGUGUGUGCAGGAGAGUGUAGGACACAUCACUGGGUCACAGAUCACCGUCUUUUUCUGCACACGGUGCAGGUGAAGCAGGUGUUGUACUGCGGUGUCCACUGUGAGCCGUGUGUGUGUUGUUCUCCCUCAAAGAAGCAGGAGUGUACGUGAGUGUGUGUGUCUUUGCGCAGCUCCGUCGGCUCCCGUGUGAACAGCAGAUCCUCAAACUCCGGCUCCUCCAGAAACUCAGCGCGGGGCGCCGGGGACUCACAGUGGUUCGGGACGUGGAUCUGAUGACCACACACA